Molecule: ribosomal RNA, 226 nt
Filed under: uncultured bacterium
Lineage: Bacteria
Description: partial 16S ribosomal RNA
Rfam family: Bacterial small subunit ribosomal RNA
Source: RNAcentral
CUGAACCAGCCAAGUAGCGUGAAGGAUGACUGCCCUAUGGGUUGUAAACUUCUUUUAUACGGGAAUAAAGUGAGGCACGCGUGCCUUUUUGUAUGUACCGUAUGAAUAAGGAUCGGCUAACUCCGUGCCAGCAGCCGCGGUAAUACGGAGGAUCCGAGCGUUAUCCGGAUUUAUUGGGUUUAAAGGGAGCGUAGGCGGACGCUAAGUCAGUUGUGAAAGUUUGCGG